GUGGGGAAUCUUGCGCAAUGGGCGAAAGCCUGACGCAGCCAUGCCGCGUGAAUGAUGAAGGUCUUAGGAUUGUAAAAUUCUUUCACCGGGGACGAUAAUGACGGUACCCGGAGAAGAAGCUCCGGCUAACUUCGUGCCAGCAGCCGCGGUAAUACGAAGGGGGCUAGCGUUGCUCGGAAUUACUGGGCGUAAAGGGCGCGUAGGCGGACAGCUUAGUCAGAGGUGAAAGCCCAGGGCUCAACCGUGGAAUUGCCUUUGAUACUGGCUGUCUUGAGUUUGGGAGAGGUGAGUGGAACUCCGAGUGUAGAGGUGAAAUUCGUAGAUAUUCGGAAGAACACCAGUGGCGAAGGCGACUCACUGGCCCAAUACUGACGCUGAGGCGCGAAAGCGUGGGGAGCAAACAGGAUUAGAUACCCGAGUAGUCC
RNAcentral lists this ribosomal RNA (425 nucleotides) under uncultured bacterium. Its description in RNAcentral is "partial 16S ribosomal RNA". It matches the Rfam family "Bacterial small subunit ribosomal RNA", at positions 354 to 796 of the family's 1533-position model. The record is from RNAcentral.